RNAcentral lists this ribosomal RNA (253 nucleotides) under uncultured bacterium. Its description in RNAcentral is "partial 16S ribosomal RNA". It matches the Rfam family "Bacterial small subunit ribosomal RNA", at positions 524 to 776 of the family's 1533-position model. The record is from RNAcentral.
UACGGAGGGUGCGAGCGUUGUCCGGAAUCAUUGGGCGUAAAGGGCGCGUAGGUGGCGGCGUCAGCGUGCGGUGAAAGCUCGGGGCUCAACCCCGAGUCGGCCGUGCGAACUGCGUCGCUGGAGCACUGUAGAGGCAGGCGGAAUUCCGGGUGUAGCGGUGGAAUGCGUAGAGAUCCGGAAGAACACCGGUGGCGAAGGCGGCCUGCUGGGCAGUGGCUGACACUGAGGCGCGACAGCGUGGGGAGCAAACAGG